GACGAACGCUGGCGGCGUGCUUAACACAUGCAAGUCGAACGGAAAGGCCCUGCUUUUGUGGGGUGCUCGAGUGGCGAACGGGUGAGUAACACGUGAGUAACCUGCCCUUGACUUUGGGAUAACUUCAGGAAACUGGGGCUAAUACCGGAUAGGAGCUCCUGCUGCAUGGUGGGGGUUGGAAAGUUUCGGCGGUUGGGGAUGGACUCGCGGCUUAUCAGCUUGUUGGUGGGGUAGUGGCUUACCAAGGCUUUGACGGGUAGCCGGCCUGAGAGGGUGACCGGCCACAUUGGGAUGGAGAUACGGCCCAGACUCCUACGGGAGGCAGCAGUGGGGAAUAUUGCACAAUGGGCGGAAGCCUGAUGCAGCAACGCCGCGUGCGGGAUGACGGCCUUCGGGUUGUAAACCGCUUUCGCCUGUGACGAAGCGUGAGUGACGGUAAUGGGUAAAGAAGCACCGGCUAACUACGUG
RNAcentral lists this ribosomal RNA (468 nucleotides) under uncultured bacterium. Its description in RNAcentral is "partial 16S ribosomal RNA". It matches the Rfam family "Bacterial small subunit ribosomal RNA", at positions 28 to 507 of the family's 1533-position model. The record is from RNAcentral.